RNAcentral lists this ribosomal RNA (331 nucleotides) under uncultured eukaryote. RNAcentral's name for it is "partial 18S ribosomal RNA". It matches the Rfam family "Eukaryotic small subunit ribosomal RNA", at positions 1470 to 1796 of the family's 1831-position model. The record is from RNAcentral.
CCCUUAGAUGUUCUGGGCCGCACGCGCGCUACACUGACGAAGUCAGCGAGCAUGUCCUACACCGACAGGUGCGGGGAAUCUUGUCAAACUUCGUCGUGAUGGGGAUUGAUUUUUGAAAUUCUUGAUCAUAAACGAGGAAUUCCUAGUAAGCGCAAGUCAGCAGCUUGCGUUGAUUACGUCCCUGCCCUUUGUACACACCGCCCGUCGCUACUACCGAUUGAAUGGUUUAGUGAGAUCUUCGGAUUGGCGCCACUGCAGCUCAGCAAUGGGCUUGGUGGAUGCCGAAAAGUUGAUCAAACUUGAUCAUUUAGAGGAAGUAAAAGUCGUAACA